ACAAGAACGCCCGGGCUUCGGCCUGGUUAUUCAUAACCCUUUGUUGUCCGACUCUGUUGCCUCCGGGGCGACCCUGCCUUCGGGCGGGGGCUCCGGGUGGACACUUCAAACUCUUGCGUAACUUUGCAGUCUGAGUAAACUUAAUUAAUAAAUUAAAACUUUUAACAACGGAUCUCUUGGUUCUGGCAUCGAUGAAGAACGCAGCAUGCAUCGAUGAAGAACGCAGCGAAAUGCGAUAAGUAAUGUGAAUUGCAGAAUUCAGUGAAUCAUCGAAUCUUUGAACGCACAUUGCGCCCCCUGGUAUUCCGGGGGGCAUGCCUGUUCGAGCGUCAUUUCACCACUCAAGCCUCGCUUGGUAUUGGGCAACGCGGUCCGCCGCGUGCCUCAAAUCGUCCGGCUGGGUCUUCUGUCCCCUAAGCGUUGUGGAAACUAUUCGCUAAAGGGUGUUCGGGAGGCUACGCCGUAAAACAACCCCAUUUCUAAGGUUGACCUCGGAUCAGGUGG
This 504-nucleotide ribosomal RNA is filed under the name Rheum palmatum. RNAcentral describes it as "eukaryotic LSU rRNA". The stretch from base 157 to 332 matches the Rfam family "5.8S ribosomal RNA". Lineage: Eukaryota; Viridiplantae; Streptophyta; Magnoliopsida; Caryophyllales; Polygonaceae. The record is from RNAcentral.